GAAGGAGUAACUCAGUGGUUAGAGUGUUAGUUUGUCGAACUAAAAGACGCGGGUUCAAUUCCCGUUUCCUUCG
Molecule: transfer RNA, 73 nt
Filed under: Thraustochytrium aureum
Lineage: Eukaryota; Bigyra; Thraustochytrida; Thraustochytriidae
Description: tRNA-Asp
Rfam family: tRNA
About the family: Transfer RNA (tRNA) molecules are approximately 80 nucleotides in length. Their secondary structure includes four short double-helical elements and three loops (D, anti-codon, and T loops).
Source: RNAcentral